RNAcentral lists this ribosomal RNA (440 nucleotides) under uncultured bacterium. RNAcentral describes it as "partial 16S ribosomal RNA". It matches the Rfam family "Bacterial small subunit ribosomal RNA", at positions 338 to 795 of the family's 1533-position model. The record is from RNAcentral.
CCUACGGGAGGCAGCAGUGGGGAAUAUUGCACAAUGGGGGAAACCCUGAUGCAGCGAAGCCGCGUGAGUGAAGAAGUAAUUAGUUAUGUAAAGCUCUAUCAGCCGGGAAGAAAAUGACGGUACCUGAGUAAGAAGCCACGGCGAACUACGUGACAGCAGCCGCGGUAAUACGGAGGGGACAAGCGUUAUCCGGAUUUACUGGGUGUAAAGGGAGCGUAGACGGCAGUGCAAGUCUGGAGGUAAAGGUGGGGGCUCAACCCCCGGACUGCCCUUGAAACUGUACGGCUGGAGUGCAGGAGAGGUAAGUGGAAUGCGUAGUGUAGCGGUGAAAUGCGUAGAUAUUAGGAGGAACUCCAGUGGCGAAGGCAGCUUACUGGAGCGUAACUGACGUUGAGGCACGAAAGCGUGGGGAGCGAACAGGAUUAGAUACCCGGGUAGUC